ACUGUGGCUCAGUUGGUAGAGCAGCUGAUUCGUAAUCAGCAGGUCGCCGGUUCAAAUCCGGCCAGU
RNAcentral lists this transfer RNA (66 nucleotides) under human gut metagenome. It matches the Rfam family "tRNA". From Rfam's summary of the family: Transfer RNA (tRNA) molecules are approximately 80 nucleotides in length. Their secondary structure includes four short double-helical elements and three loops (D, anti-codon, and T loops). Further hydrogen bonds mediate the characteristic L-shaped molecular structure. tRNAs have two regions of fundamental functional importance: the anti-codon, which is responsible for specific mRNA codon recognition, and the 3' end, to which the tRNAs corresponding amino acid is attached (by aminoacyl-tRNA synthetases). tRNAs cope with the degeneracy of the genetic code in two manners: having more than one tRNA (with a specific anti-codon) for a particular amino acid; and 'wobble' base-pairing, i.e. permitting non-standard base-pairing at the 3rd anti-codon position. RNAcentral also lists the same sequence under 1 other name. The record is from RNAcentral.